RNAcentral lists this long non-coding RNA (759 nucleotides) under Homo sapiens (human). RNAcentral describes it as "long non-coding RNA NONHSAT171873.1". The record is from RNAcentral. Lineage: Eukaryota; Metazoa; Chordata; Mammalia; Primates; Hominidae.
CAGACACAUGCUGCAGAGCCUGGAAAUCAUCCCAGUGCAGAUCCCUUUUUAAAAGCCCACAAAACAGUGCCUGGAGGUACAUUUCCAGCAACUGACUAGGGGUUCAGGGUUGCAGCCGAGCUGAGCUGGGAGUCUCGAUAGAUUCAAAUGGACCAAGCCUUUGACCAAAAGGAGAAGAGAAUGCACAUUUGUUGAGCACAAUAAUGCUGUGAAGAGGAUGCUCUUACCUCCAUUUUGCAUUUUGCCUUUUGGAAACCUCAGAGCAGUGCUUCUCAAAUGUUAACGUGCAUACGAUGAAUCACGUGGGCAUCUUGUUAAAAUGCAGAGUUUUGAGUCGAGGGUCUGGGGAGGGCUGAGAUUGUGCACUUCUAAGGAGAUGCCAGGUGGUGCUAAUUCUGCUGCACUGGACACCACACUUAGAGUGGCGAGGUCACUAAAUAAUAGGAGCAAAAGGAUCGUGAGAACACCGACAUCAGUGAGAAGGAGGCUGGCUGCAGAGACCAUGAGAAACUGUGUGAGCAGAGCCAAAGGCCACGUUCAAGGAAGUGAAACCUGCCAACAGCCACCGGAUGAGUUUGGAAGUAUAUCUUGUCCCAGUUGAACCUUGUGUUGACUGUAGCCCAACUGGAGUAAUUUUCAAUGCAGCAAUAGAUAAAGAAUAUACCAGAAUGGAGCUACCACAUGGUCAGGAGGAAGAGACUCACAAAGAAAGAUGAAGGUUGCAGAGAGGUGCUAUGGAAAUAGCACAUGCUAAAGGAG